UGUAAAUUCACAAAGUUGGCUAUUUCAAUACAGUAAGGCAAACUGUUUUCCUGAAUACCUGAUCGUCGAUGAGGACUUAUAAAUGGACAGGUUGCCUUUCGCUUUGAAGACAAGGAUGAAGCGCUUCAGUUAAAACAUGUUCUCUUUUCUGACAGAGAGUGUCACAGCUGUCUUCAGAAAUGGACCAAAAUGCAGCAGAGAUGUGACAGAGAGAAACCCCCAGCCUGAGAACAUCCACAUCUCCUCUCUAUCUCCCAGUCUUCCCACAGGCCAGGGGCCAACGCAUGGAGAAGGGGCAGGCAAAUGACAGGUCAAGGCAGGCAGGUGUCGAUAAUCCAGAACAGAGGCCAAGGUACAGGACGGCAGGCAGGGUCAGGGUAAGGCAGAGGUCGGUAAUCUAGAGAUGGAGCAAAGGUACAGGACGGCAGGCAGGCUCAGAGACAGGCAGUGGUCAGGCGGGCGGGUACAGGGUCAGGACAGGUAAAAACAACAGGAGGAUGAGAAAAAGAGAGACUGCCCACAAAAUGCUGGUAGGCAUGAACAGACAAGAUGAACUGGCAACAGACAGAAAACACAGGUAUAAAUACACAGGGG
This 594-nucleotide long non-coding RNA is filed under the name Salmo salar (Atlantic salmon). Its description in RNAcentral is "lncRNA (ENSSSAG00000107654.1)". The record is from RNAcentral. Lineage: Eukaryota; Metazoa; Chordata; Actinopteri; Salmoniformes; Salmonidae.